UUACAAGCUUAUAAUGCAACGAAUGAAAUCGCGUUAGACGAGAUUGAAGAAGUUAUUGACGAAGCUGACAGGUUUCUAUGGGUACGUAUGUCUUGACUGAUUCACUGACGUAGUUCUCGUUUAUUUAAGGUUCAGUUAAGUCAGUUUAGAGUUUACUGACACCAUUUAGAUUGUCUCUUCUUUCUCAUUUCUUUUGGGCGAUGUUUUCAAUUCUUCAAAGUUAUAAAUCCUCGAUCAAUUUUGGUUAUCUCUGAUUCUGUUACCUGUGGCGUAUUUGAUUUAUUGUAGAGAAUAAAUAUAUCUUCUGAUAUUGUCAGUUAUCGUUUGGUUGUCUGAACGUACAUGAUGCAGAGCAUGUUUAAAUAGAAAGGAUGCUACAGGCGUGGUAAACUUGGUUAAUGGACUACCGUUCCGAUUUAUAGACAAUUUUCUUUAUUAGAUUAAAGCCCAAAUCUUUAUUUAGGUUAUGUUAUCAUAUUUAUAAUCUUAGUGAUUGACGAUUAAGCAGGCAAAUUAAAUGACAUUAACUGAUUCUAAACAUCAACUGAUGUUUUUAUUGAUCAAGACUUAGCAAGCAUUUCAGUGAUCAUUAAUAUAUAGAUCUUAAUAAAGGAAUAACACAAA
Long non-coding RNA from Xenia sp. Carnegie-2017, 624 nucleotides. RefSeq lists it as uncharacterized. The transcript has 5 exons. NCBI's taxonomy places the organism in Eukaryota, Metazoa, Cnidaria, Anthozoa, Malacalcyonacea, Xeniidae. The record is from RefSeq and is a predicted model, not a curated record.